This 460-nucleotide ribosomal RNA is filed under the name uncultured Bacteroidota bacterium. RNAcentral's name for it is "bacterial SSU rRNA". It matches the Rfam family "Bacterial small subunit ribosomal RNA", at positions 35 to 478 of the family's 1533-position model. Lineage: Bacteria; Pseudomonadati; Bacteroidota. The record is from RNAcentral.
UGUANGAGGCUCCCGGCAGGCCUUAACAUGCAAGUCGAGGGGCAGCACAAAGAUAGCUUGCUAUUUUGGUGGCGACCGGCGCACGGGUGCGUAACGCGUAUGCAAUCUACCUUAUACUGGGGUAUAGCCCGAAGAAAUUCGGAUUAAUCCCCCAUAGUACUGAUAUACCUCAUGGUAAUUCAGUUAAAGUUUCGGCGGUAUGAGAUGAGCAUGCGUCCUAUUAGCUAGAUGGUAAGGUAACGGCUUACCAUGGCUACGAUAGGUAGGGGGCCUGAGAGGGUGACCCCCCACACUGGUACUGAGACACGGACCAGACUCCUACGGGAGGCAGCAGUGAGGAAUAUUGGUCAAUGGGCGCAAGCCUGAACCAGCCAUGCCGCGUGCAGGAAGAAUGCCCUAUGGGUUGUAAACUGCUUUUAUUUAGGAAUAAACCUUUCUACGUGUAGAAAGCUGAAGGUAC